Molecule: long non-coding RNA, 375 nt
Filed under: Mytilus galloprovincialis (Mediterranean mussel)
Lineage: Eukaryota; Metazoa; Mollusca; Bivalvia; Mytilida; Mytilidae
Source: RNAcentral
AAUAUAAAAAAGAAGAUGUGUUAUGAUUGCCAAUGAGACAACUAUCCACAAAAGACCAAAAUGACACAGACAUUAACAACUAUAGGUCACCGUACGGCCUUCAACAAUGAGCAAAGCCCAUACCGCAUAGUCAGCUAUAAUAUGCCCCGAUAAGACAAUGUAAAACAAUUCAAACGAGAAAACUAACGGCCUUAUUUAUGUAAAAAAAUGAACGAAAAACAAAUAUGCAACACAUAAACAAACGACAACCACUGAAUUACAGGCUUCUGACUAGGGACAGGCACAUACAUAAAUAAUGUGGCGGGGUUAAACAUGUAAGCGGGAUCCCAACCCCCCCUAACCUGAGACAAUGGUAUAACAGUACAACAUAAGAAC